RNAcentral lists this ribosomal RNA (355 nucleotides) under uncultured Pseudomonas sp. RNAcentral describes it as "bacterial SSU rRNA". It matches the Rfam family "Bacterial small subunit ribosomal RNA", at positions 1029 to 1382 of the family's 1533-position model. Lineage: Bacteria; Pseudomonadati; Pseudomonadota; Gammaproteobacteria; Pseudomonadales; Pseudomonadaceae. The record is from RNAcentral.
CUGACACAGGUGCUGCAUGGCUGUCGUCAGGCUCGUGUCGUGAGAUGUUGGGUUAAGUCCCGUAACGAGCGCAACCCUUGUCCUUAGUUACCAGCACGUUAUGGUGGGCACUCUAAGGAGACUGCCGGUGACAAACCGGAGGAAGGUGGGGAUGACGUCAAGUCAUCAUGGCCCUUACGGCCUGGGCUACACACGUGCUACAAUGGUCGGUACAAAGGGUUGCCAAGCCGCGAGGUGGAGCUAAUCCCAUAAAACCGAUCGUAGUCCGGAUCGCAGUCUGCAACUCGACUGCGUGAAGUCGGAAUCGCUAGUAAUCGUGAAUCAGAAUGUCACGGUGAAUACGUUCCCGGGCCUU